AUAACUUUUAAUAAUAGAUCUCUUGGUUCUAGUAUUAAUAAAGAACGCAGCGAAAUGCAAUAAGUAGUGUAAAUUGUAGAAUUUAGUGAAUUAUUAAAUCUUUAAACGCACAUUGCGCCCCUUAGUAUUCUAUAGGGUAUACCUGUUUAAGCGUUAUUUGUACCCUUAAGCUCUGCUUAGUGUUAGGUGUUUAUUCUACUUAGGACUUGCCUUAAAACAAUUAGUAGCUAGUAUAUUAGCCUAGAGCGCAGCACAUUUUACGCCUCUUGUUAUAGUUGUUAGUAUCUAUUAAGACACUUUUUAAGCUCUUAACCUUAGAUUAGGUAGGGAUACCUACUAAACUUAAGCAUAUUAAUAAGCGGAGGAAAAGAAACUAAUAGGGAUUGCCCUAGUAACGGCAAGUGAAGCGGCAAUAGCUUAAAUUUAAAAUCUAGCUCUUUUAGGGUCUAAGUUGUAAUUUGCAGAGGGCGCUUUAGCGUUAGCAGCAGUCUAAGUUCCUUAGAACAGGACGUUACAGAGGGUAAGAAUCCUAUACGUGGUCGCUGGCCUUCGCUAUGUAAAGCCCCUUUAACAAGUUAAGUUGUUUAGGAAUGCAGCUCUAAAUAGGAGGUAAAUUUCUUCUAAAGCUAAAUACUAGCUAGAGACUAAUAGCGCACAAGUAGAGUGAUUAAAAGAUAAAAAGCACUUUAGAAAGAGAGUUAAAUAGCACGUGAAAUUGUUGAAAGGGAAGCGCUUGUAGCUAGACUUGCCUAUAGUUGCUUAUCUAGGCUUUUGUCUAGUGCACUCUUGUAUAGGUAGGCUAGCAUUAGUUUAGGUGGUUUAGAUAAAGGUCUCUGUCACGUACCUCCCUUUAGGGAGGCCUUAUAGGGGAGACAACAUGCAACCAGCCUAGACUAAGGUCCGCGUAUCUGCUAGGAUGCUAGCGUAAUAGCUAUAAGCGGCCUAUCUUAAAAUAUAGACUAAGGAGUCUAACAUCUAUGUAAGUGUUUAGGUGUUAAGCCUAGACGCGUAAUAAAAGUGAAUAGAGGUAGGAACCCUUUUAGGGUGCACUAUUAACUAAUCCUAAUAUCUUUAGAAGGAUUUAAGUAAGAGCAUAGCUAUUAGGACCUAAAAGAUGGUAAACUAUGCUUAAAUAGGGUGAAGCUAGAGGAAACUCUAGUAGAGGCUCGCAGCAGUUCUAACGUGCAAAUUGAUUAUUAAAUUUAGGUAUAGGGGCGAAAGACUAAUUAAACUAUCUAGUAGCUAGUUCCUACUAAAGUUUCCCUUAGGAUAGUAGUAACGUAUUUAGUUUUAUAAGGUAAAGCGAAUAAUUAGAGGCCUAGGGGUUAAAAUAACCUUUACCUAUUCUUAAACUUUAAAUAUGUAAGAAGUCCUUGUUACUUAAUUAAACGUGGACACUUAAAUGUACUAUUACUAGUAGGCUAUUUUUAGUAAGCAGAACUAGUAAUGCGGGAUAAACUAAACGUAGGGUUAAGGUGCUAGAAUAUACGCUUAUUAGACACUACAAAAGGUGUUAGUUUAUCUAGACAGCAGGAUAGUAGCUAUAGAAGUUAGAAUCUACUAAGGAGUGUGUAAUAACUCACCUGCUAAAUAAACUAGCCCUAAAAAUAGAUGGCGCUUAAGCGUGUUACCUAUACCCCGCCGCCAGGGCAAGAUUUAAGCCCUAGCAAGUAGGCAGGCGUGGAGGCUUGUAACAAAGCCUUAGGGGUAACCCUAGGUAGAAUGGCCUCUAGUGCAGAUCUUGGUAGUAGUAGUAAAUACUUAAAUAAGAACUUUAAGGACUAAAGUAGGGAAAGGUUCUAUAUAAAUAGUAGUUAGACAUAGGUUAGUUAAUCCUAAGAGAUAGGGUAAUUCUAUUUUAAUGUUAGUGCUUACGCUGCGCCCUUAAAAGGGAAGCUAGUUAAUAUUCUAGCACCUAGAUGUAGAUUCUCCGCGGCAACGCAACUAAGAGCGGAGACCUUGGCAGGAGCCCUAAGAAGAGUUCUCUUUUCUUCUUAACAGUCUGUUACCCUAAAAUUGGUUUGUCUAGAGCUAGGGUUUAAUAGCUAGAAGAGCGCUGCACUUUUGCGGCGUUUAGUGCGCUCCUAACAAGCCUUAAAAAUCUGCUUAAAGAAAUAGUUUUUACGCUAGGUUAUACUUAUAACUAUAGUAGGUCUCUAAGGUAAAAAGCCUCUAGUUAAUAGAACAAUAUAGAUAAGGGAAGUUAGCAAAAUAGAUCUAUAACUUUAGGAAAAGGAUUAGCUCUAAGGGUUAGGUACGUUGGGCCUUAGAGAGAAGCCUCUAGCGUAGAAGGGCACUAACCGCAAGGUAGGCGCCUCUUAGCGCUAGGGUGCAGACACCCUUAGCAGGUUUUAGCCGUCUAGCGUAUAUUUAACAACUAACUUAGAACUAGUAUAGAUAAGGGGAAUCUAACUAUCUAAUUAAAAUAUAGCAUUGUAAUAGCUAGAAAGUAGUAUUAACGUAAUAUAAUUUCUGCCUAGUGCUCUAAAUGUUAAAGCGAAGAGAUUUAACUAAGCGCGGGUAAAUAGUAGGAGUAACUAUAACUCUCUUAAGGUAGCUAAAUGCCUUGUUAUCUAAUUAGUAACGCGCAUAAAUAGAUUAAUAAGAUUCCUACUAUCCCUAUCUACUAUCUAGUGAAACUAUAGCUAAGGGAACAGGCUUGGCUAAAUUAGCAGGGAAAGAAGACCCUAUUAAGCUUGACUCUAGUUUAACAUUAUAAAAAGAUAUAACAGGUGUAGAAUAGGUAGGAGCUUUAGCGCUAGUAAAAUACUACUACCCUUAUUGUUUUUUUACUUAUUUAAUAAAGUAGAGCUAGGCCUUACUACCUAACUUCUAGCGUUUAAGGUCCUUUAUAGGCUAAUCUAGGUUAAAGAUAUUAUUAGGUAGGGAGUUUAGCUAGGGCGGUAUAUCUAUUAAACUAUAACGCAGGUGUCCUAAGGGUGACUUAUAGAGAAUAGAAAUCUCUAGUAGAGUAAAAGGGUAAAAGUCCCCUUAAUUUUAAUUUUUAGUGUAAAUACAAACCAUAAAAGUAUAGCCUAUUAAUCCUUUAGUCCCUUAAAAUUUAAGGCUAGAGGUGCUAGAAAAGUUACCACAGGGAUAACUAGCUUGUGGCAGCCAAGCGUUUAUAGCGACGUUGCUUUUUAAUCCUUUAAUAUUAGCUCUUCCUAUUAUACUAAAGCAGAAUUUAGUAAGCGUUAGAUUGUUCACCUACUAAUAGGGAACGUAAGCUAGGUUUAGACCAUUGUAAGAUAGGUUAGUUUUACCCUACUAAUAACCUUGCCCUAAUAGUAAUACUACUUAGUACGAGAGGAACCGCGGUUUUAGAUAAUUAGUUUUUGCGGCUAUCUAACUAGGUAUUGCCGCGAAGCUACUAUCUGCUAGAUUAUAGCUAAACGCCUCUAAGUUAGAAUCUAUGCUAGAAUAGGGUGAUUUCCACCUACACUAGUUAGAUACAAAUAGGCCUUUGGCCCAGAACCUUACUAGAUUAGCGUUAGCAGCCCUAUUAAAGUUAGGGUUAUUAGCUAGUGUAUUGUAAUUGUACAGUGCGCAGGAUUAAAUCCUUUGCAGAUAACUUAGUUGUCUAGCUA
This 3587-nucleotide ribosomal RNA is filed under the name Plenodomus biglobosus/Leptosphaeria biglobosa 'brassicae' group. Its description in RNAcentral is "eukaryotic LSU rRNA". It matches the Rfam family "Eukaryotic large subunit ribosomal RNA". The record is from RNAcentral. RNAcentral also lists the same sequence under 1 other name. Lineage: Eukaryota; Fungi; Ascomycota; Dothideomycetes; Pleosporales; Leptosphaeriaceae.